Molecule: ribosomal RNA, 460 nt
Filed under: uncultured bacterium
Lineage: Bacteria
Description: partial 16S ribosomal RNA
Rfam family: Bacterial small subunit ribosomal RNA
Source: RNAcentral
CCUACGGGAGACAGCAGUGAGGAAUAUUGGUCAAUGGGCGUAAGCCUGAACCAGCCACGUCGCGUGAGGGAUGAAGGUUCUAUGGAUCGUAACCCUCUUUUAUAAGGGAAUAAAGUGUGGGACGUGUCCUAUUUUUUAUGUACCUUAUGAAUAAGGAUCUGCUAACUCCGUGCCAGCAGCCGCGGUAAUACGGAGGGUCCGAGCGUUAUCCGGAUUUAUUGGUUUUAAAGGGUGCGUAGGCGGCCUUUUAAGUCAGCGGUGAAAGUCUGUGGUUCAACCAUAGAAUUGCCGUUGAAACUGGGGGGCUAGAGUAUGUUUGAGGCAGGCGGAAUGCGUGGUGUAGCGGUGAAAUGCUUAGAUAUCACGCAGAACCACGAUUGCGAAGGCAGCCUGCCAAGCCAUGACUGACGCUGAUGCACGAAAGCGUGGGGAUCAAACAGGAUUAGAUACCCGAGUAGUC